This is a long non-coding RNA of Sebastes umbrosus (honeycomb rockfish), 441 nucleotides long. RefSeq lists it as uncharacterized. The transcript is spliced from 3 exons. The record is from RefSeq and is a predicted model, not a curated record. NCBI's taxonomy places the organism in Eukaryota, Metazoa, Chordata, Actinopteri, Perciformes, Sebastidae.
CAAAAGUUAAACCACCGAAAUUAUCUGAAUUAUCUGAAUAGGAAAAAGAAGCAAGUUUUCCAAAAACAGAGGAAUUCGUUGUUGAGGUAUACUAUCCUAUGAGUGUUAGCAGCGCGCCGUCAAGUCCGUUACCGCAGAAACUAACUGCUCCCGCGUCAGAGACAGGAGACAGCAGGUGUUAGCACUCCCAUGUUAGCUACAUGUGAACAGACCGCGGCUCAUUUGGCCGGCUCAGGGAUGGGUGGAGCACGCUCCAGUCUCAUGGUCCAGGGGUCAGAGGUCGCAGCAUAAAAUGGAGAGUGGCUAGAUCCAGGGGCCUGGAGGCCUCGAGCGGCGUAGAGGUGGGAAAGGCGUGGGGCAGCCGGGUUUGCGGCGAGGCUCCUGCGUGGGGAUGCUGGUGGUGGCUGGGGUCCAGGAGCUGCUUGGGGAAGGCUGGGAACU